CACGUGGAUGAUCUGUCCUGGAGUGGGGAAUAACUUGGGGAAACUCGAGCUAAUACCGCAUACGCUCGUAUGGUUACGACCAUGCGAGGAAAGUUGGCCUCUACACGUAAGCUGACGCUCCUGGAGGAGUCCGCGCCUGAUUAGCUAGUUGGUGGGGUAAUGGCCCACCAAGGCGACGAUCAGUAGCCGGCCUGAGAGGGCGAUCGGCCACACUGGGACUGAGACACGGCCCAGACUCCUACGGGAGGCAGCAGUGGGGAAUAUUGGACAAUGGGGGCAACCCUGAUCCAGCAACGCCGC
Molecule: ribosomal RNA, 300 nt
Filed under: uncultured Acidobacteriota bacterium
Lineage: Bacteria; Pseudomonadati; Acidobacteriota
Description: bacterial SSU rRNA
Rfam family: Bacterial small subunit ribosomal RNA
Source: RNAcentral